RNAcentral lists this long non-coding RNA (532 nucleotides) under Ananas comosus (pineapple). RNAcentral describes it as "long non-coding RNA (ACOM_LNC017476)". Lineage: Eukaryota; Viridiplantae; Streptophyta; Magnoliopsida; Poales; Bromeliaceae. The record is from RNAcentral.
GGAAGUCCCGAAAAUCACACCGGGACGCCGUCGGGACCCACUAAGUGUCCCGAAACUCACCGACUCGUACCACGAGUCAUCCGCUGCCACAAAACACACCAAUUUGGAUGUCUUGGCAGCAAACACAAGAUAACACCACUACACAAUUAUCGUCGAAUAAUUGUACGAAUACGGGUUCCCGGAAGCGUCUAUUUCGACACCGGAACCCACCAUCGCUCACCCAUCAUCACGAACCCACAAAAUGAUGAUGGUGACCAGCCAACAAGGCUCAGCGACAAUUCACAGGAUAAACAAACCACGUCGGAAGAAAUCCGAACUGAAACCGCGUUCUUUCAGCGAAUUUCGCCGAAAAACGCACCGAAAUCGACUUUUCGAUUUCCGCGAAAGCUACAGGAUCAUGGACAAUCAGUCCAAAGGUCAAACACACUCAUACACACUGCCCACAGUAGCCACAAGGUGUACAAUUGCACAAAAGCCCCUAUAUUUACAUAAAAUCCAAACAUUUUAUGUAAAUCGGGCGAUAAAAUAGCUC